This 375-nucleotide long non-coding RNA is filed under the name Mytilus galloprovincialis (Mediterranean mussel). Lineage: Eukaryota; Metazoa; Mollusca; Bivalvia; Mytilida; Mytilidae. The record is from RNAcentral.
UUGUAAAGCAAAAUAUUGUCCUAUGAAAUAUUGUACCACAAGACAAUAUUUCAUAACUAUGUAUCAUGAAAUAUUGUCCUCGUCUAUGGAAAAAUGUCCAGAGAAGGACAAAUUUGCAUAGUGAAAUUGUGUCUGUAUAUAGACAAUAUUUCACAGAUGAAUACUAUGGAAUUUUGUCUUGUUAAAGGGAGGUUAUAUUUUGUGGGAAUUAAGACAAUAUUUCAUAGAUAAAUACUACGAAAUUGUGUCCUGUUAAAGGGAGGUUAUAUUUUGGUUAAAUUUCGUGAGUAUUGAGACAAUAUUUCAUAGACAGAUUGUCAUUAAAUUUUGUCUCAUGAAGGGGAGGUUAUCAACAUAUAUUCAUGUUAGAGAAGG